Molecule: long non-coding RNA, 486 nt
Organism: Coregonus clupeaformis (lake whitefish)
Lineage: Eukaryota; Metazoa; Chordata; Actinopteri; Salmoniformes; Salmonidae
Exons: 4
Source: RefSeq, a predicted model, not a curated record
UGACUAAGCAGGAGGAGUGUGGUUGAACCAACUUGCAAGUAGUGUACCAAUAAGCAAGUUAUUUUUCAAUGUAUUAAGUGUGGAGUCAAUUGAGGGGACUAUGUUUCAUGAAGCCGUUAGAAGACUGUUGCUGACUGAGAGGAGUCUGGCAGUAACCCAGAACUAUUAGAUGCAGAGGAUCUCUCUUUCGGCUGCUGCUGACAACAACUGCAUUCAGGCAAUAACCCAUACUGUACUGGCAGUAGUUAAUCUGGGCCAGGUGCUGGAACAAAACGGGCGGAAUUGAUCUGACAACUUGAGGGCUGCUGGGUUCACAUCCUCAAAACAUUCCCCUACCUUUGGGCCCCUGAGCGAAGCCCUUAACCCCACAGCAUUCUCUCCAUCCAGGGGUGCUGCACUGCAGCAUGAUAGGUCACAAAGGACCUAUCAUGGUCCAAACACACCAACACAGUCGUGAAGAGGGCACGACAACACCUCUUCCCCCUC